UACGUAGGGGGCGAGCGUUGUCCGGAUUUAUUGGGCGUAAAGAGCGUGUAGGCGGCCAGGUAGGUCAGCUGUGAAAACUCGAGGCUCAACCUCGAGAUGUCGGCUGAAACCAUCUGGCUAGAGUCCGGAAGAGGAGAAUGGAAUUCCCGGUGUAGCGGUGAAAUGCGCAGAUAUCGGGAAGAACACCCGUGGCGAAGGCGGUUCUCUGGGACGGUACUGACGCUGAGACGCGAAAGCGUUGGGAGCGAACAGG
Molecule: ribosomal RNA, 253 nt
Filed under: uncultured bacterium
Lineage: Bacteria
Description: partial 16S ribosomal RNA
Rfam family: Bacterial small subunit ribosomal RNA
Source: RNAcentral